GGCGCUAUCGUCUAGGGGACUAGGACGGGGCCCUCUCAAGGCCCAAACACGGGUUCGAAUCCCGUUAGCGCUAUCA
This 76-nucleotide transfer RNA is filed under the name Gemmatimonadota bacterium. RNAcentral's name for it is "Gemmatimonadetes bacterium tRNA-Glu". It matches the Rfam family "tRNA". From Rfam's summary of the family: Transfer RNA (tRNA) molecules are approximately 80 nucleotides in length. The record is from RNAcentral. Lineage: Bacteria; Pseudomonadati; Gemmatimonadota.